ACUGCUCAGUAACACGUGGAUAACAUGCCCUAAGGUGGGGGAUAAUCUCGGGAAACUGAGGAUAAUACCCCAUAGGUCUGAUAUGCUGGAAUGCUUUUAGGCCGAAAACUCCGGUGCCUUAGGAUUGGUCUGCGGUCUAUCAGGCUGUAGUGGGUGUAACGGACCCACUAGCCCGUGACGGAUAUGGGCCUUGAGAGAGGGAGCCCAGAGAUGGACUCUGAGACAUGAGUCCAGGCCCUACGGGGCGCAGCAGUCGCGAAAACUUCGCAAUGGGGGCAACCCCGACGAGGGAAUUCCAAGUGCCAGCACUUUGUGUUGGCUGUUCUCCUGUCUAAAAAACAGGAGGAGUAAGGGGCGGGUAAGACGGGUGCCAGCCGCCGCGGUAAUACCCGCGCCCCGAGUGGUGGUCGAUAUUAUUGAGCCUAAAACGUCCGUAGCCGGUCUUCUAAAUCCUUGGGUAAAUCGGGCAGCUUAACUGUCCGAAUUCCGGGGAGACUGGGAGACUUGGGACCGGGAGAGGUCAGAGGUACUUCUGGGGUAGGGGUAAAAUCCUGUAAUCCUGGAAGGACCACCGGUGGCGAAGGCGUCUGACUAGAACGGAUCCGACGGUGAGGGACGAAGCCCUGGGGCGCAAACGGGAUUAGAUACCCCGGUAGUCCAGGGUGUAAACGCUGCGGGCUUGGUGUUGGGGGUCCUUAGUGGGCGCCCAGUGCCGGAGAGAAGUUGUUAAGCCUGCUGCUUGGGGAGUAUGUCCGCAAGGAUGAAACUUAAAGGAAUUGGCGGGGGAGCAC
This 791-nucleotide ribosomal RNA is filed under the name uncultured archaeon. Its description in RNAcentral is "bacterial SSU rRNA". It matches the Rfam family "Archaeal small subunit ribosomal RNA", at positions 85 to 879 of the family's 1478-position model. RNAcentral also lists the same sequence under 1 other name. The record is from RNAcentral.